RNAcentral lists this ribosomal RNA (253 nucleotides) under uncultured bacterium. RNAcentral's name for it is "partial 16S ribosomal RNA". It matches the Rfam family "Bacterial small subunit ribosomal RNA", at positions 524 to 776 of the family's 1533-position model. The record is from RNAcentral.
GACAGAGGGUGCAAACGUUGUUCGGAAUUACUGGGCGUAAAGCGCGUGUAGGCGGUCCUGUAAGCCGGGUGUGAAAGCCCAGGGCUCAACCCUGGAAGUGCACUCGGAACUGCAAGACUGGAGUCUCGGAGAGGGUCGCGGAAUUCUGGGUGUAGAGGUGAAAUUCGUAGAUAUCCAGAGGAACACCAGUGGCGAAGGCGGCGACCUGGACGAGUACUGACGCUGAGACGCGAAAGCGUGGGGAGCAAACAGG